UAGGGAAUAUUGGACAAUGGGCGCAAGCCUGAUCCAGCAACGCCGCGUGAAUGAUGAAGGCCUUAGGGUUGUAAAAUUCUUUCGCCAGGGAAGAUAAUGACUGUACCUGGUAAAGAAGCCCCGGCUAACUCCGUGCCAGCAGCCGCGGUAAUACGGAGGGGGCUAGCGUUGUUCGGAAUUACUGGGCGUAAAGCGUGCGUAGGCGGACUGGAAAGUCAGAUGUGAAAUCCCGGGGCUCAACCCCGGAACUGCAUUUGAAACUAUCAGUCUAGAGUUCUGGAGAGGUAAGUGGAAUUCCUAGUGUAGAGGUGAAAUUCGUAGAUAUUAGGAGGAACACCAGAGGCGAAGGCGGCUUACUGGACAGAUACUGACGCUGAGGCACGAAAGUGUGGGGAGCAAACAGGAUUAGAUACCCCCGUAGUCC
This 424-nucleotide ribosomal RNA is filed under the name uncultured prokaryote. RNAcentral describes it as "bacterial SSU rRNA". It matches the Rfam family "Bacterial small subunit ribosomal RNA", at positions 355 to 796 of the family's 1533-position model. The record is from RNAcentral.